GGAGUGCAGAGUGUCACAACUAUAUAAAUUAAAACACAGUUCCAGUACCUAAUUCAGUCUUUCAAAGGCACCCCAGGAAUAGUGAAAUAAGACAUUUAUCCUUAUGUUUAUAUAGGCCUGAGAGGUGAAAAUGAAAAUACAUGAUGGAAGAAAGUGGAGAAGGGCCGUCCUUAGGCAUAGGCAGCAAAAGCGGCUGCGUAUGGCACCCGAAAAAUUGAGGCACCAUCAGCACAGCAGAUAUCACCAAGCGACUGAAGUGCUGAUCAAAGGGGAGAGCCUGGCUGAAGGUGAGCAGCAUUUGGUGAGCAGCAUCUAAGUUUGUAAGGGC
This is a long non-coding RNA of Mauremys mutica (yellowpond turtle), 328 nucleotides long. RefSeq lists it as uncharacterized. The record is from RefSeq and is a predicted model, not a curated record. The transcript has 4 exons. NCBI's taxonomy places the organism in Eukaryota, Metazoa, Chordata, Testudines, Geoemydidae.